UUACAAAAAUUUAACCGCAUGCCAAAAAUUCGUAUAAUUUUCCAAUACGAAUAUAAACACAUGCUAAAAAUCAUUCGGAUUCCCCAAAACAUGAAUUCUUGCUUUCCAAAAAUAUACAAUACCAAACUUCAAAAAAUCUAUCUUCAAAACAACACUUGAAGUAACCUACACAAUACAUUUACUUUCAAAGUCUACAUAUCCUUAGUUCAACAAAAUGUCCUUGCUCCCAUGCUCCAAUGUAAAAUGUGUUCCUGAACAAUCAAAGAAGAAAAAAAAGUUAGUGUUCCCGAGUAAGCAAAAUUCAUGUUUUUAAAGCAUAUAAAACUUGUUGUAUACAACUUUUUUUGUGCAAAAGACCAUGAAAUUCUAAAACCCCAGAAAAAGUGGUUUAGCACAUAUGACAAUGAGAACAAGAAAGUUUCUUUGAGAUUUUUUUUGAUAUUCGCCGAAGAAUGUUGCAACCCACAAUUACGAUGCUAACCUAACCUACAAAAUAAGAGACACCAGUGAGCUGCAAUGCAAGAACUUGCGCUUGCAUUAUAUCGUAAAAGCUACAGCUUGUACUAUGGAUAAAAACACCAACGAAAUACUAUAUGCUAUUUAUACCAUGAAUACAUUUAGCAGAAGGAAUACCUGGAUAUAAGCAUAUUGUCACUAGCAAUCCAAUAACUUUACUAGGUGAAACAGGACAUUUCGAUACAAUAGAGCAGGCUCUUUAUUGCUGCCAAUCUUUGAUCUUAAUCCCCUAAUCUGUAAAGUCCAUCAUAUAGUUUUCAGUGAUAAAGUAGCAGUCGGCAUAAAAAUUUUGAAAUCAGAUAGCAAGGCUGGAUAAAAUUAACUCAUCAUAUAUUUAUGAAAAGAUAUUGAAAUGGCGUAUGAUAUAUCAAACCAUUCCAACAACUGAACCAUGGAAAGCCCUCCAUGCACAUAAUAAAUGUAUGUAAAAUGAGUUUAAUCAUUUUUAAGGGUAUAAUCAACUCAACCAUUUAUAAUUUGCAGCACAGCUAGGAAGAAAAGGGAUUCUUAAAACGGAGAAGUCACCAUACCAUACCAUGUGCUAUAGUUAUAGCAUUGUAUAUAAAAACAUCUAGAUACAUGUGGAAAAUGGAACAAAAAAUUUACGAAGCAAUCCAACUUUAAUUUUUAUAAACCGAGCAAAUGAGUUUAGAACGACAAGUAGGAAACAGAGUUUAUACAAUGAACAUAAUAACAACAAAAGCUAGCGUUAGACCUGACUUGAUUGCUUUCGCUCUUCUUGGCCAUAAAAAAUGCCUAUAUUUUCUGCCAUCCAGCAACUACAAUAAACAAACAACACAGAGAGAGAAAUCUAAUGAAGUUGAUGAAGAAAAAAUGAAUCUAAAAUUUGAACAAUCAAGCAUAGAGAAACUAUUUCUUAGAAUGUUAGCUUUCUUGAAAUAUAUUUUUAGCCAUAAUCAGAAAUUAAAAAAUUAUUGUUCUUUGGAGAGAAACGAAACCGUGUUGAUAUCCGACAGGCCUCCUUCUGCAGUACCAUAGAUAAACUCUGUUGCCACUAGCUAAUGGUAUACACGAGAAUCUGUUUAGUGUCUGCAAAUAAUGUACACUUUCCGUAAGAAAGAGAAGUAACGAAAAAGACGUUAGUACGUUAAGUGAACAGGUGAACUUACAGUGGCUGAUACUUUUCCUUUGCUCAACUGAAAUGAAGAAACGGAGCUAAAUCAGAAGACAAAUAGUUCCCAGCAUGGUGUAUAUACUAUCCCAUUUUUUAGCCGUAACUCCAAAUUAAUUUGCACAUUAUCAAUGGGAUUUUAUAUCAUAUUACAUGCUUGAUACAUAGAUUUUCUAAACAAAUCUCAAACUUGAAGAGUGCUAGAUAGGUUUAUUUUACCAUUUUGGUCUCGGGGAAGAUAACACAAGUACUUCGGUAACCAAAUUCUUCCAAAGCAUCCUUCAAAACACAAUCAUUGGUAUCAUAAGAAAAGUAAGUAAAAUAAAUUGUCAUUGUGCACAAACUGAGAAAUUAACAACACUGGUAAACAAAAAACUUGGAAGAAUAAAAAAUUGAAACCAAUGGAAAAUUAGCAAACUAUAAUUAAGUAAAAUUCUAAAAUAUCAAGUCAUAGAUUCUCACAAUCUGCAAACUCUUGUUUCAAAUCCUAGCUUGACCCCUUAAAUUCAAGCAAUCAAAUUAACCUAAAAAUCACUUGUCAGCUUCCUAUACUGAAUUCCACACGGAUGGAAUGAGAUCAAUUAAAAUAAAUGGAAAAUAAUAACAGAGGAGACUAACCUGUCACGCAAUCCACGGGUGAUUCAAAACACCUGCAGGGUUGAAAGAUUUUCGCAUUUUUCAAUUUGUCUUCACAAUGAUUAGUUCGAUCCUGAGGGAAGAAGUAGCAACAGAGAUGUCGGCUCGGCAUUAGCGGCAAUGGCGGAGGCGGAGGCGGAGGCGAACGCGGCGGCGGAGGUACGGCGUCGAAGAGAAGUUAUUAUUCAUAGAGAAGCCCUAAUCGAAGGUUAGAGGGAGAUUGUAUCGGUCUGAUUAUAAAGGAAAAAUUGAGAGAAAAAAGUGAUGUUAAUAACGUUAGAGAUUAAUAAUUUAUAUAUUAUAUAAUUUAUUUUUGUUGACGGUUUUUAAGCGUCGAGAACAUUUUUAAAAGCGUCAAGAAUUCCUUUUACUUGACCGUGUUUAUGUGUCAAGAUUAGUUUCAAAAGCGUCAAGAAACGCACUUUAUACGAUGGUUUUGAAACCGUCGGGAAUACAAAGCAUCGCAAAAGCCCUAAAAUGUUGUAGUGAUUUACCCUUAGUCCUUCAGUUACAGCAGUGAUGGACACAAGUUUGAUUCCGUUAGUUUUAACAGAAAAUUGACAGAAAUGACUAAAAAUGUUGAUUUUUUUUUAAAUAUGAGGGACAAGUGUGGUUUUUGUGAACACGGAUGAUCAAAUAUGAAAUUGGUGCAAACUUGAGGGAUGAAAACUGUAUUUUUCCAUAUAUUAGUUGAAUCUUAUAGUUCAAUCACUAUUUGCAGGUAACAUCAUUCAAGUGUGGUGGUUUUGCAAUCGGCAUGUCUACAAAUCACAUCUUAUUCGACGGCCUAGGCGCCAAGGUAUUCCUCAUAAACCUAGCUUCCCAAUCUUUCGAAAACAAACCCUUAGCCAUCGUACCCUACAACGACCGUCGGGUUCUCGCCGCUAGAUCUCCACCGCACGUUUCCUUCCCACAUCCAGAGUUCCUCAAAUUCGACCUCCCCGUGGGCCCGGGGUCAACUCCCCCAAAGUUCGAUUGCAUCAUCGAAGAACUCGAUCUCAAAAUCUUCAAACUCACCACAACUCAGAUAUCCCACUUAAAGGACAAUAUUACUAAGACCUCCAAAAUUGAAAGAAUUAGCACCCUUGCGGUGGUGGCCGCCCUAAUAUGGCGGUGCAAAGCCUUUUCCGAUGAUAAGAAUAGGGUUUCAACUUUGCUCAGCGUUAUCGACAUUAGGCCAAGAGUGAACCCCCCAUUACCAUAUUCGUACUCGGCCAAUGCAGUGCUACCCUUGGGAGUUUCCGAAACUUGUGAAGAGAUAAGAAACGGGCCGUUUUCGAAGCUUGUGGAAAUCAUUACCGAAGGAGCUAAGGAGAUGACGCACGAGUACGUGAAAUCGGCUUUCGAUUGGUUGGAGUUGAAUAGAGGGAUUCCUCAUGGGGAUUACAUGGUGAGCUCAUGGCUUAGAUUUGGGUUUGAUGAGGUGGAGUAUGCAUGGGGGAAGCCGAUGUACAGUUGUCCGGUGGUGAAUCAUCGGAAAGAUAUUUGUUGGGUUUUUCGAGAUGCCGUUGAUAAUGGUGUUUGUGCAAUGGUGGCUUUGCCUUCUCAAGAGAUGGACAUAUUUGAGGGUGUUUUCCACGACUUUUUUGCUUCAAUAUUGGUUCACUAAUGAUCGACAAUAUAUAUAUAUAUAUAUAUAUAUAUAUAUAUAUAUAUAUAUAUAUAUAUAUAUAUAUAUAUAUAUAUAUAUAUAUAUAUAUAUAUAUAUAUAUAUAUAUAUAUAUAUAUAUAUAUAUAUAUAUAUAUAUAUAUAUAUAUAUAUAUAUAUAUAUAUAUAUAUAUAUAUAUAUAUAUAUAUAUAUAUAUAUAUAUAUAUAUAUAUAUAUAUAUAUAUAUAUAUAUAUUGUGUGUGUGUGCGCGCGCGCGCAGAGUAUUGUUCUUCUUAGCUUUGUGAUAUUAUUGAGCAUUGUGCAAAAAACUGUUUCCAAGUUAAUAUUGUUAGCAAUAAAACCCCUUGUGUUUUGCAAAGCAGGCUGCCCUUUACAUUAAUAUAUUUGUUGACUUACGUGAAAUGACAAAAAUGUCCUAAUAAAUAUUAAACAAUGUUGCAAUUUUAAAUGAAAAAUGAAAAAAAGAAAACAAAAUUAAAUUUUAAAGGAAAGAUAAGCAAAAAAACCUAUAGGAAUAAUAGGAGAAAGAGAGAAAUAAUAAUAUGUAAUAGAAAACUCCGUUAUGUUAUGGGUUGAUUUACAUGGAAUAUUUAUAGAGAAAUAUUGAAAGGUAAUAGAGUUUAACUAGAUAACUGAAUCAUGAGUAAUCUAGAUAAUUGAAUCAUAAUAGAAUCAUAAUAUUAUAAGAGUUCUUAUAAUAUAGUAUACUCUAAUAAAAACAAUUUUCAGUCCCAAAUCCAAUUAUCAUCCACCCUCCGCCGCACUAUCAACACCACAUCUGCCUUCAACCUGCUCUCGAUUUGGUAGGACGAAAAAACUCCAAAAUAUUGGUGGAAAAUGGUGCAGAAAAGCUCCAAACCAAACCGAAUUUUGUAAGAGAAAAUGUUGGAGUGGUGGGGCGGAAGGGGGUAUAAGGAGGGAGGUGAGGCCGGAGAGGGUGUUCGCCGGAAGGAGAGCGGCGACUCGACUAUGUUCAGUGUAUUUCUGGAAAAAAAAUUCAAAUUAGUCCAUGACUUAAGGAAGAAGAUGGCCUUUUUGAAAAUGGGAGGGAUUGAAUUCAAAAAUAAAUCAUAAAAUUAUACCAUAUAUUUCAAAAAACAAUCAAAACAUUUGUAACUAAAAUCAGAUCCGAAAUUGGAAUUUUCGGUAAUUUUAUAUACAAUUCCAAAACCGUGCCAAAAAAUGGAAAAAUCCUAAAUUGUAAAAAAAAAACAAAAAAAAAAAAACAAUUCUAAAUUCAGAUAUUUUCGAAUCGGAAUCGGUGGAAUUCCAAAAUUCCAUUCCGACACCCCUAACCACAUUGCAUUUUUUACUUUAAUUUUUUCUUUAUUUUAUUUUAUGAGACAUAUAUAUGAUGAUGUUUUUUUUGGUCGUCAUAUGCUGAUGAUUUUAACAUUAUUAAAACAUGCUAUUGAAAUAUUGUUUAAUUAUGUUAAUUAUAAAUGUAUUAAGAUUGUCCAUACUAGUUUAUCAUCAAAUCAAGUUAAUUAACUGUUGAAUCUUUUAGUGUAUUAAAUGUUAAAAAUAAUUAACAAGGAUCACCCAAUUAAUUUGCAGAACUUAAUAUUAUCCAUUUAUCUUUUCUUUUCUUGUUGAAUAAAAUUUAUUUGUUAUUUAAAAUAUAUAUUAAACAUUGUAUAUUAAUGUACAUUUUGGUAUAGAACUUUAUACAUAAUAUCCAAAAUAAUAUAUUUUUAGAGUUAUUAAGGAUAAUAUAAUUUAAACUUAAUAAUUUAUUUAUAUCUUGAAUUUUUUGAUUAUAUACAUAAGAGUUUAAGAGAAACAAGAUUAUCCUAACCAUUAACGUGGACAAGAACCCAUACAAAGAUUAUAUUAGUGGGUAACAUUUAAACUUUUAUUGAUUUUUUUUCCAAUAUUUUAUUUGAUAUUUCAUAUUACACAAUAACUAGUAAUUACUUAUUUUAUAUAAAAUUAAUCAUAUAUAAUUUUAUUUAUUUUUAAAGAAAUUAAUAAUGUGCAAUUUUAGUCAAUUAAAUCUUAAAUAGUGUAAAUUAUUGAGUAAAAUAGUAAGAAUCAUGUGCAUUGCACGUGGUACUAACUAGUUUAUUUAAAAUUACGAAUUCAUUUUAUAACAAUUUAAUUGAUCAUGUCCACUUGGUAUUUUGAUCCGAUUCACAAUUAUUUUAUUGAGUAAAUUACAGUUACCCCUCUGAGGUAAGGUCAAAUUAUCAAAAACACUUUGUUUCGGUAAUUAUAAUCACCCAUCAACUACGAAUCUUCUUAUACGUCUACUCUUGCGGUAUCAAAUUUAAUGGAAUCUUCUAAAUUAUGUGGAAUAUUCUUAAGUUUGUACCCGUUUCAUCCCAUUUGAGCUUUACAUUUUGACACAAGAUGAUCAUAGAUCAUAAUAUGUAUCUCUUGGGAUUUAAAUAUCAGAAUGUGGUGCAUCAUAAAAUGCAUUUUGCACAAAACGAGUACAAACUAGAGAAUAUUUCAUGAAUCUAGAAAAUUAUGUCGAAUUUGACACCAUGGGGAUGGACUUGUAAGAAGAUUCAUAGUCGAGGGGAUGCUAGUAAUUACCCAAACAUAAGGGGUUUUUAUGAACAAUAACUAAAAUAUAAAUAAUACCUAAAAUAUAAACACAAAGCAUACCUUAUAUCAAUGAAUUGGAUUCUUGAAUUUUGAAUGAAUCCUUCAAUCUCUUACCAAAUGUUAUGUAGAUCUUUAAAUUUCUCUCCAAUGAUAUAUCUAAGGAAAUAAGGAAAUAUUAUUGUCUUCCUUCGGAGACCAUGAAGAUCUUUAUACUGGAGCUUUUUUUUGUUUAUUAUUCCUUUCUGCCAUAUCAUUAAUAGGAGGUUGGCUACAAUUACGACCGAAGUAGAAACCGAGAGUUUCAUGGUUCAAAAAUGCCUAAUCUCGUAUGAAUCAUCAUUUGUCAGGACUUUUGGGCGUAAGUUCCUUGACAUGGACAGAACAUUUAGUACAUGUUGCUAUUCCGGGAUCCAAUGGGCUCGGAGUGUACGUUCGGUGGAAUAAUUUCUUAGAUGUAUUAACGCAUCCCCAAGGCUUAGCUCCACUUUUUAUAGGGAAAUUCUAUGUUACACCCGAACACCGGUAAUUACUUAGCCAUAAAUCUACACAUAAUCACACAAACUAAUGUAUAUGUGUGCUUAGUAGGUAGUUAUUUAACAUCAUAUUUUGUUAACUUCAUCAUAAGUUAUGACACAUGCAAGCUAUAAAUCUCGACAACAUCGACCGUACUUAUAUAAGAUUGAAGGAGGUUACGUCGUAUUGCACGAGGCAUAGGAAAAUUUAGAUAUUUUACCAAAAUAGUCGAAAUUAAUUUGUUUCUACAAACAUCUCAAAAUUUAAAUUAAGCACUUAUAAUUGAUUUUUUUUAUGUAUUUGCAAACACUCCCAACUUUUAAAAUUAAUUAAGUAUGCUUAUUUCAAAAUUUACUUAAGGGGGGAGGGGGGGGGGGGGGGGGGGGGUUUGCAUAAAUGUUGUAAAAAUAGAAAUUGAUGAUUGUGAGUAUAAGACUAUAAGUUAAAAAUAAAUGAUUACCAACGAAAGUUGAGGGUAUUUGCAAAUUCUUAAAAAAAUAACUUGAAGCGGUUAAUCCAGAAGUUAUAAGUGUUUGCAAAUCACAUUUAACUUUUAGCUUAUUUUUAUGGAAUAUCCGUGUAAGAAUAAUUUUGAUAAAAGGUAUAAAUGUGAAGAGGAGGACGAGGACGAAGAAGAUGAAGAGGAAGAAGAGGAAGAGGACGAGGAGGAAGAAGAGGAAGAGGACGAGGAAGAUGACGAAGAGGAGAUGGAAGAGGACGAGGAAGAAGACGACGAAGAAGAAGACGAGGAGGAAGAGGACGAAGAAUAAGAGGAGGACGGAGAAGAAGAAUCUUCCUCUCUUUCGUCCUCUUCCUCCUCUUCUAAUGAAUUAGGUGUUAAUCUAGCAAUUAGAACCACAAUUUAAGAUGUAUUAAUGUUAAUACACUAACUUCUAUAUAGUUGGUUAAAGUUGAUUUUUCAUAAUCUCAACUUCUAGAAUUAAAUUAUUAUCUUGAAUUUAACUCACAUUCACUAACUUAAUUCAACUGCAUCCUAAACAUUUAAAAUUUUGACAUCCACCUCCUAUGAACUAUGACUGUUUGCAACCACACCCUCAAAUAAUAAAUUCAUUUUUUUGCAUCCACAUUCUUAGACACAAUUUUGCAACUCCAUCCCUCCAUCUAUUUGUCAGAUUACCUUUUUGCGGAGAAUAUAUAUUUUUCUUCUUAUUACUUAUUAGUAAGAAAAUUUAGUUUUUCUUGGCAUUAUUUAGGUGUGAAAAAUAGAAGGGUCAAAUAAGAAAUCAAAGUAUAGAGAAACAAAAAUUAAAGUUAAUGUGUUAAAUGGCUAAAAUAUAGAUACGAUAGAACCUUGACUCGAUGUAAACAUACUAAAUUAUUAGUUAGAUAAUUUAAUAUUUCGUUAAAUUAAUAGGAUUUUGCUAAUUCUGACUGUAUUAAUUUAUAGAGGUUUGACUGUACGAUCAUCUUUAAUGAUGAUGAUGCUAAUAGGUAGCUCACCUAGGGUAGUGUAGAAAAUGAGCUGGGAGAGCAAAGCAGAUCAGUAGCUUGACAACUUGAUGAUCCUGAGGUACCUGCAAUCAUAGAACACGUGAACUAGGCCGGGGGUUGAUCCGGCGGAAACCCCUCCGACGCUCAAGUCAGACGUGCGGAUAGUGGAAAUAGUCCAGAGAAUACGUAUUGUAGUAUUGCUCAGUUAAUAGGACGUACCUUGAGGAAUGAGUUCAAACCUUUAUUUAUAGCUUAGAUGAGAUUGUUGGGCCCAAACCUUAUUUGAAGGCGAUUGGGCCUCGGUGAUAAUAGUCUUAGAUAUUGGGCUCGUGGCCCAAUAGGUAAAGAGAUUGUAGGCCCAUUGGGCUGGCCCAAUUAGGCAUAUCAUUAAGCCCCCCACUCUCGAGUCGAUGUGGGGGCCAUGUCGAAAUGGGUUCUCAAUCGUGUCGAGAGUGAAAAUUGUAGUGUUCGUUCUUUGGCAUAUGGCCUGAUGGUGUGCGAAAAUGCAUUGGAGCGUGUGUCGGAGGGGCGUGAAUGCGCGUUGGCGCGACUAAGUUGUCGCUAUGUAAGUUAUUUGAGUCGUCGGUGUUGUCUCGCGACGAUGUAGUAGCGAAUUGUCUCCUCGUGGGAGUUGUCUCGUCGCGGGGUAAUAUAGUUGAUCGAGUUAUCUCCUCGUGGGAGUUGUUUCGCGAUAAUGUGGCAGCACGGAUCAAGUAAUCUCCUCGUGGGAGUUGUCUCGUCGGGGGGUAAUAGAGUUGAUCGAGUUAUCUCCUCGUGGGAGUUGUCUCGUGAUAAUGUAGUAGCACGGAGCUAGUAUUCUCCUCGUGGGAGUUGUUAUUUAUCGACAUUGUCAAUGUUUUUGACGCGUUGCUUGUAUGUGUUUACAUAUAGCCUUGUGCGUGAUGUACUUGAGGAGGGGAUCAGGCUCUCAAGAGUUUUUUUAUGGGAAUCGUGCCCCUUGUUAGACCUCGUGGGUCGUAAGUAUGUUUGGACCGUGGCCACGUUUUAAUGAAGGACCCAUCGAAAACAAGUAGAUAAAUUUUGAGUAAUCAAGCUGGGCAGGCUAUAUAGAUUCUCAUAAUAUCUCUAAGUGUUUCUAGGGUUGUAAUCGUGCUAACUUGAGCUUGCGAUUAUGUAGUGCAUUGCGAGCGAGUUGUCUCUUCAAGAGAGUUGUCUUGCAGCGAAGUUGUAGGAGCAUUGGAUGACGCGCGAUUGAGGAGCGUGCGGAUUGAGGUUGCUCUGAGCGAGUUGUCUCCUCGUGGGAGUUGUUUCGCAGCGAGUCUUAUUAUCGAGCGAGGUGGUUGUACGUGGGAGUUGCCUCGCAACAGACUUGUAGUAUCGAGCGAGUUGGCUCCUCGUGGGAGUUGUCUCGCUGCGGGUUGUGGUACCAAGCGAGUUGGCUUCUCGUGGGAGUUGUCUCGCUACGGGUUCGUAGUACCGAGUGAGUUGGCUCCUCGUGGGAGUUGCCUCGCUGUGGGUUCGUAGACCCGAGGGAGUUGACUCCUCGUGGGAGUUGCCUCGCAACGGGUUAUAUGACUGAGCAAGUUAUCUCCUCGCGGGAGUUAUCUUGCCGCCGGUUGUAGUACCGAGCGAGUUGGCUCCUCGUGGGAGUUGUGUCGCUGCGAAUUGUGGGACAGAGCGAGUGGUCUUCUCGUGGGAGUUAUUUCGUUGUGGUUAUGAGACCCGAGGGAGUUGGCUCCUCGUGGGAGUUAUCUCACAACGGGUUAUAAGACGGAGCGAGUGGUCUCCUCGUGGGAGUUAUCUCGCUAUGGUUUCGUAGACCCGAGGGAGUUGGCUCCUCGUGGGAGUUGUCCCGCUACAGGUUGUAGUUCCGAGCGAGUUGGCUCCUCGUGGGAGUUGUCUCGCUACGGGUUCAUAAUACCGAUGGAGUUGACUCCUCAUGGGAGUUGUCUCGCAACGAGUGUGUAGGGCCGAGCGAGUUUGCUCCUCGUGGGAGUUAUCUCGCUAUGGCGUUGAGACCCGAGGGAAUUGGCUCCUCGUGGGAGUUGCCUCGCGACGGGUUAUAGGACAGAGCGAGUAUUCUCCUCGUGGGAGUUAACUCGCUAUGGUUUCGUAGACCCGAGGGAGUUGGCUCCUCGUGGGAGUUGUCUCGCUGCGGGUUGUAGGACGGAGCGAGUUAUCUCCUCGUGGGAGUUGUCUCGCUGCGGGUUGUAGUUCCGAGCGAGUUGGCUCCUCGUGGGAGUUGUCUCGCAAGCCCCCCACUCUCGAGAGGAUGUGGGAGCCACGUUGAAAAGGGUACCGGAUCUUGUCGAGAGUAGAUCGGUGUUGUAUUCUUGCGUUAAUCGUUGGCAUGGUGUGGAGAAAUAAUUUUUUUUUUCUCCAUUUGAUAGCGAACGCAAUUUGGUAGGUGCGUUAAAGAGCUCGCGCAAUUUGGUGGAACGCGUUGAAAUUCUCAUGCGAUUUGGUGAAGCGAGUCAAAAUCUACGCGCAAUUUGGUGGAAGGCGGUGAAAGUUGUGCCCAAUUAUAUGGGAGCGCGCGCUCCAAGGUUGCCUUGGGUGGCGCGCGCGCGUGCAUGGGAAGGCGCGCUCCUCUUCCCCUUUUCUUUUUUUUUUUUUUUUUUUUGCUGCUGGCGCGUGCCGUGCACGCGCGCGUCUGGCGCGUGUAGGCCACGCGCGCGUCUGGCGCGUGUAGGCCACGCGCGCGUCUGGCGCGUGUAGGCCACGCGCGCGUGCUGUGUACGCGCGCGUACUGGCCUUUUUUUUUUUUUUUUUUUGCUGCUGGCGCGUGCAGUGCACGCGCGCGUCUGGCGCGUGUAGGCCACGCGCGCGUGCUGUGCACGCGCGACUUCCACGAGGAGCCAACUCGCUCGGAACUACAACCCGCAGCGAGACAACUCCCACGAGGAGAUAACUCGCUCCGUCCUACAACCCGCAGCGAGACAACUCCCACGAGGAGCCAACUCCCUCGGGUCUACGAAACCAUAGCGAGUUAACUCCCACGAGGAGAAUACUCGCUCUGUCCUAUAACCCGUCGCGAGGCAACUCCCACGAGGAGCCAAUUCCCUCGGGUCUCAACGCCAUAGCGAGAUAACUCCCACGAGGAGCAAACUCGCUCGGCCCUACACACUCGUUGCGAGACAACUCCCAUGAGGAGUCAACUCCAUCGGUAUUAUGAACCCGUAGCGAGACAACUCCCACGAGGAGCCAACUCGCUCGGAACUACAACCUGUAGCGGGACAACUCCCACGAGGAGCCAACUCCCUCGGGUCUACGAAACCAUAGCGAGAUAACUCCCACGAGGAGACCACUCGCUCCGUCUUAUAACCCGUUGUGAGAUAACUCCCACGAGGAGCCAACUCCCUCGGGUCUCAUAACCACAACGAAAUAACUCCCACGAGAAGACCACUCGCUCUGUCCCACAAUUCGCAGCGACACAACUCCCACGAGGAGCCAACUCGCUCGGUACUACAACCGGCGGCAAGAUAACUCCCGCGAGGAGAUAACUUGCUCAGUCAUAUAACCCGUUGCGAGGCAACUCCCACGAGGAGUUAACUCGAUCAACUCUAUUACCCCCCGACGAGACAACUCCCACGAGGAGAUUACUUGAUCCGUGCUGCCACAUUAUCGCGAAACAACUCCCACGAGGAGAUAACUCGAUCAACUAUAUUACCCCGCGACGAGACAACUCCCACGAGGAGACAAUUCGCUACUACAUCGUCGCGAGACAACACCGACGACUCAAAUAACUUACAUAGCGACAACUUAGUCGCGCCAACGCGCAUUCACGCCCCUCCGACACACGCUCCAAUGCAUUUUCGCACACCAUCAGGCCAUAUGCCAAAGAACGAACACUACAAUUUUCACUCUCGACACGAUUGAGAACCCAUUUCGACAUGGCCCCCACAUCGACUCGAGAGUGGGGGGCUUAAUGAUAUGCCUAAUUGGGCCAACCCAAUGGGCCUACAAGUUAUUUACCUACUGGGCCACGAGCCCAAUAUUGAAGACCAAUAUCACCGAGGCCCAAACACCUUCAAGUAAGGCUUGGGCCCAACAAAGCAAACCCAACCCAAUAAACGACAUAUAAAUAGAGGUUUUCCUCAUUUUAUUAAGGUACGUCCUAUUAACUGAGCAAUACUACAAUACGUAUUCUCUGGACUAUUUCCACUAUCAGCACGUCUGACUUGAGCGUCGGAGGGGUUUCCGCCGGAUCAACCCCCGGCCUAGUUCACGUGUUCUAUGAUCGCAGGUACCUCAGGAUCAUCAAGUUGUCAAGCUACUGAUCUGCUUUGCUCUCCCAGUUCGUUUUCUACACCACCAUAGGUGAGCUAGUAAUUAGCAUCAUCAAAUGAUAAACUCAAUCUCUGACACUUAGAAUGCACAUAGGAUAUUUUGAGAUUUUUGUUCUAGAGUUUCUUCUGAGUUUACCCCGUGUAUUUCACCCGGUGUAGCAUCAGCAGCCAGCAGAGAAUCUAAAUUUUGCCAAAUAGGAUAGAUAAAAUUUUAAAAUUCAUAUUUGGUAAUUAACAUCUAGUACUUUCAGAGUUUCUUUUGAGUUUAGCAUCGGAGAUGCUCUAAUAUUUAAGCAAAGUAGAAAAAUAUGAUUUGCUAAAAUUCCACUACCUAAAAUAAACAUAACAAAUGUAUUUUUUUCCAUUUUUGCUAUAUCUCAAACAUAAAUACCAAAACAUCUACAGAAUUACACACACAACACAAUACAUAUACUGAAGAACUCCAUUGUUAAACUGAAGAUCCCAGAGGAAUGCUCCAACGACGCCGUUUUGUUCAAGAAUCUGUACUUGUCUUGCGACCCUUACAUGCGCGGCCGCAUGGCGAAAACGGACAGCAGCUACAUUGACUCUUUUACCCCUGGUUCGGUUUGUAUUUUCUGAUUGGCUUUUUCUUUUAUUGGUGUUUAAUUUGUACUAUGUGAUUCACCUGGUUGUACCUUGGUAUGGGGAGGAUUCAGAGAACUAUGUUUGGUCUAUGGGAAAUUUACAGGUUUUGUCCCUCAAGUUUGCAACGAUUUUAUAUUUGGUCCACCGUGUUCAUAAAAAAACACAUUUGAUCCCUCUGUGUUUCAAUAAUUUGACACUUUUAGUUAUUUUUAUCAAUUCACCGUUAGUCCGUCAGUUACGGUUGUGAUAAGCACACGUUUGAUUCCGUACGGAAAUUUGACGGAAACGACUAAAAAUAUUGAAUUAUAUAUUGAAAUAUGACGAAUGAAAUGUAUUUUUUGUGAACAUGAUAGACCUAAUGUGAAAUGUUUUAUGCGAUUUGUUCUCCGAAAAAGGGAGAAUAUGUGUUCGUUUCUGCUGCAUCCGGAGCCGUUGGCCAACGAGUUGGCCAAUUUGCCAAGUUGUUGGGGUGUUAUGUUGUCGGCAGUGCCGAAAGCAAAGAUUAGGUCUUUCAAAUAAAUAAAGAUCACAAAAUUCAAUUUUUUUUCCAAUUAUACAAUUACAUAUAUAUAUAUAUAAAUUUUUGGUAUUUAUAUAUAUAUAAGUUGUUGGCAUAGCGGAAGAUCGAUAAAUGGAUUUGCUCUUGAUAUGGAAGAAUAUUGUUGAUAAAGAAGGAGGAAUAUGAACAAAAAAGAAUGGAGGUUUUAGGGGACAAUUGAGUUGCUGCUCUUUUAAUUGUUUUUCUUGAUAUUCCAAAUACUAGUACAAGGUGUAUUUAAAAAGCAAGAUAAGUCUCCAGAGAAUUCUCCACAUUAAUGAUAGAAGAUGAACCGUGCUUUUCUAAAUAAUUCUAAAAUAUUAAUUUUUGAUUACAAAUUAACUUUUAACACAUAACACAAAAAAAACAGGGUUACAUAUUUGCUUAGACAUGUAUACUUCUGUCGUUAAGCACAUGCUUUCUCAAACCAGGGAUGUGAACUUCUUGAAAAUACUUCCUCCACUCUAUCUUUGAUACAUCAAUGUCAAAAUUAUCCACCUCUUCCUUUGACAUUUCAUACAAUAACUUCUGAGUGUUGCCAGCAUGGAACCUUUAAAAAAAAUAAUAAUAAUAAUAAUAAGGGUAUAUUACACCUACACCCCUGAGGUGAGGCGUAGUAAAAUAACUUUAAGGUUCUUGUGAUAUUGGUAUUUAUAGUCGGACGCCUGAAGCAGUUACUAGAGUCAAGAUUUCAUGCUGGAGACCGAUAUACACUAUAUUUGUUUUCCGCGGGGCUGUUAGUGCUACCACAUACGAAAAUUUAUAAAUCUUAUAUAUAAAUAAUAAAGAUUUAAGAAAUGUUAGGGCAACCAUGUCAGCCCCGAGCUCUAUGUUGUCUCCAUCAUUACCUGAAACUAAUAGUCUGUUAUAGCCCUGACGGAUAAGUUAUCCAACGCAUUAUUCUGUUAGGGUUUCUAACACGGCGAUUGUAAUUAUCGAUAUCUCAGGGACCUUAAAGUUAUUUUAGUAUACCUUAACUAAGGCUUAUUGAUUUCGAGAUAAAAAACUCAGACAAGAACAUUUCUUGAUACUUGAGUGCAUUUACUAAACUAAUGCAUUAACCAUGUGUAAAAACAAUGAAGUAAAACAUUUUGAAGGGAGACUGUCACUUUUUUUUUUUUGGGAUGGAAGUGAAAAUCCUAAAAAAGUAUAGGGAGCAAAGUGCAAUUUGUCCAUGCAUAUUCAUACCUUGCUUUGAAGUGCCCCAAGAAUUCAUACAUCUUGCACAAGUGCUCAGCAUACAUGAUCUUUGCUCUGCACUGCUUUUUUGCUUUCUCGGUUCCUACUACAUUUCCUUGUCCAGCACGUCGAGAUAUUUCUUCUCGUGUAUAUUUCGAGAAAUCGUUGAAAUUAUCGAAAUAUUUAAUUUUUUCAAUAUCAUCAUAGUAGUUCACCCUAAUUAAACUUUCGGAUUCUACCAAAGGUUCCGAACUGAAAUAUUCGUAAAGAUACUCGAAAAAUUCCGAGUAUCGUAAUGGGUUCGUGACACUAGAUGACAUGUGGUACACAUUCAACUCCGGCUUUUGAAUAUAACCGUGCUUUGCUAUCGCUGCAAUUGUUCCAUUUACGACAAUAUCCAACGGAAUCUGGUAACAAAUAUUAGUCAAAGACAACGAACGAUUAUCCAUAAUUAUCCAGAAGAAACGAAAUCAUGUACUUAAAAUAGGAUUUUUCGAAAUAUCAUAUUCAAUAAUUUUGAAGGCGAAAAUUACAGUUUUCAUUCUUCAAGUUUGCACUGAUUUCACAUUUGGUCCCCUAUAUUCACAAAAACCACAUUUGGUCCCUCAUGUUUCAAUAAUUUAACAGUUUUGGUCAUUUUCAUCAAUUUACCAUUACUCCAUUUGUUAAGAAAGUGAUGGGCACACGCUUGAAUCCGUUAGUACUAAUGGAAAAUUGACGGAUAUGACUAAAAAUGUUGAAUUUUUGAAACACGAGGGACCAAAUAUGGUUUUUGUGAAAAUGAGGGACCAAAUGUGAAAUCAGUGCAAACUUGAGGGACAAAAAUUGUAAUUUUCUCAAUUUUGAAGUAAAUUACCAAAGGUAAAUUUAUUUUAAACUUGAAGUUCUUAUAUUCGUAAAAUUGAACAAUCAAUAAAUUUCAAAAACUGUUUACUCCCGUGAAUUUAGCAUAAUAUUCUCACACAUUAUAUAUUGUUUAUGUAAACUUACAACAUCAAUGGGGGAAUCAGGCUUGCCUAGAAAGGCUGGAAGCUGCCCUUUUCCGUAUGNNNNNNNNNNNNNNNNNNNNNNNNNNNNNNNNNNNNNNNNNNNNNNNNNNNNNNNNNNNNNNNNNNNNNNNNNNNNNNNNNNNNNNNNNNNNNNNNNNNNAUAUAUAUAUAUAUAUAUAUAUAUAUAUAUAUAUAUAUAUAUAUAUAUAUAUAUAUAUAUAUAUAUAUAUAUAUAUAUAUAUAUAUAUAUAUAUAUAUAUAUAUAUAUAUAUAUAUAUAUAUAUAUAUAUAUAUAUAUAUAUAUAUAUAUAUAUAUAUUCUUUUCACCUAUUUCCUUGAAUCCAACCAGGAACAGGUUCUUUAUAGCAACUUUCUAUGACAGUUGGCCUACUGACGACAACCGGAAUAUCCCCUCUCGUUUCAUUAAUUACCAUUUCCGCCAUCGCCUUUGUCAAGUGAUACGUAUUAUACCAUCCAUACAAAUUUGCUCUGUUAGAAAAUAGAUUAUGUUAUAAAUUUAUGAUGCAUGUGUGCUCAUUUUUUGGUUAUACGUAAGUUUGGCCCGUAAAGUGUUCAUGAUAGUUCCUAAAUUAAACGACGAGUUAAAUUAUAACUCGAAGAAAGAAAAAAGAGAGAGGAAAGGCAUAAAUUAACCUCUCCAUUCCAAGACUUUUCAUAUCCCUAGUCAAAUCAUAGUUUGAAGAAGCCAUUUGUUUUCUCGACACCGAAAGAUUUACUUCGUCGGUUAUAUCGAGUCGAGGAAAUGGAGAUGUAUUGCAUGUGUCGUCAUUUCUUCUAUUCUCCCCCAUAAUCAAUGGCUUUUCCAAGAUAAUCCCUUCUCUUUCUCCAUUGACAUAUGCUAUAUGUAUAUAUAUAGUAACAUUUCGAUUAUUCGUGCAUAUAUAACGUUAUACGUACUAGUUAGAAAUUAAUAAAAAAGAUUUAAUUCCCUAAGUCAUUUUUACUACUUAAUUAAGGGAAAAAUACAGUUUUCAUCCCUCGAGUUUGCACUAAUUUCACAUUUAGUCCCUCAUGUUCAGAAGAAACACAUUUGGUCCCUCGUGUUUCAAAAAUUCAACACUUUUAGUCUUGUCCGUCAAUUUUCCGUUCAAACCAACGGAAUCAAGUGUGUGCCCGUCACUGCCUUAACUGACGGACUAAAGAUAAAUUGAUGGAAAUAACCAAAAGUGUUAAAUUAUUCAAACAUGAGGGACCAAAUGUAUUUUUUUGAACAUGAGGGAUUAAAUGUGCAAUCGGUACAAACUUGAGGGAUAAAAACUGUAAUUUUCCCACUUAAUUAAUAAUAAAUUACCGGUUGAAAUAUGGACAAAUAGCUCAAGGUUCUUGCACGUCUUAGCAAAACGCAUCAAUUGUUGGGGGCUAUUGACAUUGGCUUCAAGUAACACAUCGUACCUACGUGAAAUUAUAAUAUUUCAAUCGAAGAAGAAACUUAGUUUCCAUCAACUUGAUUUAGUUUUGAUCAAAAUUAAUUAAGUGAGAAGAGCGAGAUAGUUAAAGUAAUAACCUUUCGUUUAAGGUUGUAAUGGCGGCGGAUUCUAUGAUCACAUUGACAUCUUCCAUAAUUGCAUGCGCAGAAUCAAAGUCCAUUCCGAGGUUCGGCUCACAAAUAUUGCCAACAAUUGGUAUCAGAGUCUCCCUUAUAUACGCUUGGUAAUAUUUUCCAUGUUUUUCUUUCAAACAUCGGAAUAACUCGGAGUUUAUAAGCUAAUUACAAAAAAAAAAAAAAGAGCAAAAUAUUCGCGUAAUUAUGUGUAGAGUUCAACUAAAUAUAAAGAUGCAAUGUUAAUUAAAAACUUACUUCUUUGGCUAUUCUAUCGACGGCUGCUUCUUGAUCAUCCGCUUUCACUAGUAUGUAGAUUUUACCGACCGAUGUCGACCUUAAAAUCUUCUCCACAAGAACUACGUACAAAAUCAUAUUUAAUUAAUAGAGUAAAAUUAAGGUCGAUCACCUCCCUGAGAUAAGGUUAAAUUACAAAAAUACCCUUGUUUUUUUGGGUAAUUACAACCCCCCUCUCAGUUAUGAAUCUUCUUACACGUCCACCAUUGCGGUAUCAAAUUUAACGGAAUCUUCUAAAUUAUGUGAAAUUAUCUCUAGUUUGUACCUGUUUUAUUCCAUUUCAGCUCCACAUUUUGAAACAAGAUGAUCAUAAGACGUGUCUCUUGAAUUAUAAAUAUCAUAUUGUGGUGUAUCAUAAACUGUCUUUUUGCACAAAACAGAUACAAACUGGAGAAUAUUCCACAUAUUCUAGAAAAUUCCACUAAAUUUAACACUGCAAGGGUGGACGUGUAAGAAGAUUCAUAGUUGAGGGGGGCGGUUGUAUAUAUUUACCCAAACAUGACGAUUUUACGUAAUUUGACCUUACCUCACAUGAUGGCCGUAAUUUACCCUUAAUGAAUAUUAUUUCAAUCAAACGACAAUUAGGAAUACAAAGAAGACUAACAAGUGAAUUAUAUACAUAUAUACAUACCUUUUCCAAGAAGCCCAGUUCCACCGGUGACGAAAAUGUUUUUGCCUUCGAAAAACUUAAGUAUUCCGAUACCCUUGCCGUAUUCGAUUCCUUGUGGAACUUCCAAUUUUUGGAGAUGGCUAUGUGGUCAUUGUUAUUAUUAGCUGCCUUUGUCUUAAUAUUAAUUUGUCGAUAUCUUGUUCUAGCUAUGUUGUUUUUCUUUUCGACGUUAACUAAGAAUCGAACCGGAGUUUUCUUACAAGAAUAAAAGUUGUUAAGUUCCCUAAUUUGUUGGCAGAAAAAUGGUCUCGUACUCAGCAACAUAGUUUACUUCAAAAAGAAAAAAAGAAAAAAAAAAGUAUUUGUAUUUGAGAGAGAGAGAGAGAGAGAGAGAGAGAGAGAGAGAGAGAGAGAGAGAGAGAGAGAGAGAGAGAGAGAGAGAGAGAGAGAGAUUGGUUUGGAAAUUUAAUGGUGAUACUUAUGAUGAAAGUAGAGGUCUAUUUAUAGGAGGAAAAAUUGUUAUUGAGAGCUACUAUUAUAUGAAGUUUCAGGGUCAUUUACAUGAAUGGUGUAGAUGUCCAAUUAAUUUACAGGAAUGGUGUGAUUUUGUACACCUUUACAAAUAUGGUGUAAAUCGCAUUUCACAGUGGCGAUUUCUGACAUUUUUUAUGACAGCUGACCCAAGUCCCUUAUGUUUCAACAAUAUAACACUUCUGGUCAUUUCCAUCAAUUUACCGUUAGUUUGUCAGUUAAGUAAUUAAUGGACAUAGGCUUGAUUCCGUUAGUUUUAACGGAAAUAACUAAAACUGUGGAUUUUUUGAAAUGUGAGGGACCAAAUGUGUUUUUUAUGAACAUGAUGGACCAAAUGUGAAAUUGUUGCUAAUGUGAGGGACUAAAACUGUAUUUGUCCCCCAAAAUAAUUCUUUCAACUUUCCCUCUGUUGGAUACAAAUAGAGUAACAAAGGCCAUCAAUUGAUUGAUCUCUCUUUUUCAAAGAAGACAGACUUUGAGGACUGAGCUUUUUAAAUAAUUAAAAGUGAAUCUGAACCCGUACUCUGCGAACGAGCUUAAAUCAUUUAUCACGUGAGUUGCCUCCACUCAUAGGUAAAAAAAACUGAAAUGAUUUGUGCAGACAUAAAUUAAACAUUCAGGCACAUUUUUUACCAUUUCUCAAAAACCAAAAGGUAAAAAAACUCAAAAAACUCUCUCAACCCUCUCGAUUUUCUUUCGCAAAGCCCGUGCAAAUCGUCAACAGAUCGGAGGUAAUUUUUACGUUUUUACGAUCCUCUUGUUAUGUAGAUUACGAAUCCGAAAAAAAAAAACGAAAAAAAUCGAGCUUAGUCACACUCGUGUGAAUUUACACGAGCGGAACCACUUCGCUCGUGUAAAUUCACACGAGUGUGAAUUAUAAUUUUUUUUUUUUUUUUUUUUUUUUUUUUAAUUUAUUUCGUAAAAAAUGGGAGUUGGAUUUUUACUCGUGUGACUUUACACGAGCGNNNNNNNNNNNNNNNNNNNNNNNNNNNNNNNNNNNNNNNNNNNNNNNNNNNNNNNNNNNNNNNNNNNNNNNNNNNNNNNNNNNNNNNNNNNNNNNNNNNNNNNNNNNNNNNNNNNNNNNNNNNNNNNNNNNNNNNNNNNNNNNNNNNNNNNNNNNNNNNNNNNNNNNNNNNNNNNNNNNNNNNNNNNNNNNNNNNNNNNNNNNNNNNNNNNNNNNNNNNNNNNNNNNNNNNNNNNNNNNNNNNNNNNNNNNNNNNNNNNNNNNNNNNNNNNNNNNNNNNNNNNNNNNNNNNNNNNNNNNNNNNNNNNNNNNNNNNNNNNNNNNNNNNNNNNNNNNNNNNNNNNNNNNNNNNNNNNNNNNNNNNNNNNNNNNNNNNNNNNNNNNNNNNNNNNNNNNNNNNNNNNNNNNNNNNNNNNNNNNNNNNNNNNNNNNNNNNNNNNNNNNNNNNNNNNNNNNNNNNNNNNNNNNNNNNNNNNNNNNNUGCAUCUUUAUAUUUAGUUGACUUCUACACAUAAUUACGCGAAUAUUUUGCUCUUUUUUUUUUUUUUGUAAUUAGCUUAUAAACUCCGAGUUAUUCCGAUGUUUGAAAGAAAAACAUGGAAAAUAUUACCAAGCGUAUAUAAGGGAGACUCUGAUACCAAUUGUUGGCAAUAUUUGUGAGCCGAACCUCGGAAUGGACUUUGAUUCUGCGCAUGCAAUUAUGGAAGAUGUCAAUGUGAUCAUAGAAUCCGCCGCCAUUACAACCUUAAACGAAAGGUUAUUACUUUAACUAUCUCGCUCUUCUCACUUAAUUAAUUUUGAUCAAAACUAAAUCAAGUUGAUGGAAACUAAGUUUCUUCUUCGAUUGAAAUAUUAUAAUUUCACGUAGGUACGAUGUGUUACUUGAAGCCAAUGUCAAUAGCCCCCAACAAUUGAUGCGUUUAGCUGAGACGUGCAAGAACCUUGAGCUAUUUGUCCAUAUUUCAACCGGUACUUUAUUGUUAAUUCAGUGGGGAGAUUACAGUUUUUAUCCCUUAAUGUUUGUACACGAUUGCACAUUUAAUCCCUCAUGUUCAUUAAGGUACAUUUGGUGCAUCAUGUUGGGAGCAUUUUUGAAGUGCUGGCAUGUUUUUGCACGAGCACAACAAAUUUUUCUUUUUUUUUUCGUUUGUUUUUUUUUUUUUUUUAAUAAAUUAAUUAGUUUAAUUAGGAGCACAAGCAGAGCAAAUUUUUUUUUUUUUUUCAUUAUUUAAAUUCUUUUUUUUUUUAUUAUAUGAAAUAUUAAUAAAGUGCUUAUUUAAAAUGUAGAUGGCAGGAGGUCGGGGGAAAAGUCUUAUGAGUCAAGUUGCCGGUAAAGGCAAGAGCUUAAUGAAAGCCUUGAGUGGGAAGGGGGACAAUCCGGAAGAUCCGGAUCGCAUUGGAGACCGAGAUGUCCUUGCUUCCGCACGUAGAAGAAAGCAGUUAGCUCGAGAAGCAGCGUUACAGCGGGAAGAAGAGAGACUGAGACGAGAAGUUGUUGCAGCUGGAGCCGGACCCUGUACAUUGCCACAUGCCGACGACGAUAAUAUGGAUACUGACGAGGAGAUGGAGCAAGAUGAUGGGCCAGCAGAUGCAUUUCAGGAUCGUAGAGGUGGUCGUGCCUUACCCUUUCCGCAGCUGCCUGGUCCUGCGUACUUGGAGGGUCCGUGCGAGGGAGGGCCGCAAAAUUUAGAGUUUAUGCGAUGGUUCAAGUCGCAUAUAGCGAUGUACAUUUGGGAAGGAUAUGUAAGUUUUUCUGUCAACACGUGCUUUACAUAAUUCUUAUAUUAUUUAGAGUUUAUGCGAUGGUUCAAGUCGCAUAUAGCGAUGUACAUUUAGAGUUUAUGCGAUGGUUCAAGUCGUACUCUUUAUCCAACAGGUCCAGUGCUUUGUGUGAUACGUUACAUACCAAAGCACCGAAGCACGACAGUGAAGUACUGUACAUCCUGACUGUUCUACUGCUUUCAUUUUCCACCUUCAAUUCAUUAAUUUGAAGGUCAACUUGCGCAUCUAGUGCAUUUUGAACUGUAUCCAUAGCUCCAGUCGAUGUUUGGAUCCAACGCUUCGAUGCACGAUGUGCACUAUCUACUCUGUUUCGAGAAAACACUCAAAUAAUGAAUAAAUGUAACAUGUGUAUAAAAGAUUGUACGUAACGAGUUUAUAGUAAAAUCAAUUUAUAUACCUGUUAGUCGUCGUGUUACCGAAAUGAACGAUGUUGUUGGUCCAACACUUAACAAAUCUCUCCUUAUAAAUCAACCACGUUUCAUUGAUGUAAGUUAUCAACUUCGGAUAUUGCCCGUACAAACUAACUAUCUCUCUAUAGUUGCAUUCGUAUUCUUCCUCAGUCUCAGAUUCGACUAACUUUGCCCACACCGUCCUCCGGAACAGUACACCCAACUUGGUGUUACCCAAGAAUUUUGACGCGUUUGCCUCAACGUUUCUGUUUAUGUGAUAUAAACAUAACAUGUGAUGCGAAUGUGGAAACACGUUUGGCAAUGAUUUCAGUAGGCCCAGCUCACGAUCUGUCAGUAUCACUUCUGGUUCUAUCCCGAUUGGUAAUAUGUCUCGCAAACAUCGCAAUGUCCAUGCAUAAGUGUCCCCAUCUUCACGUGACAUAAAAGCAACGGCAAUAGUGAAGUUCCUUCCCACGGGAGUAACCCCAAUGAUCUCCAAAAGAGGCAUUUCAUAUCUACAUGAAGGUAAUUAUAAUUUAGUCAACUCUUACAUAUAUAUAUAUAUAUAUAAUAAAUGUAAUACACAUUUAAAUAAUUAUUACCUGUUAGUCUUGUACGUGCAAUCCAUCAGGAUGACGUAUGAAAAUAACUGCAAAAGCUUUAUUGAAUCAGGGUGCGCAAACAUAACGUCUUGCACUGUAUCACCAGCUGGAUUUGUUCGAUGCCAUUUGCUGUAUCCACUCUCACUUAGUUCGUGCCACAGAUGUUGUAUAACUGUUUUUCCUUUCAUUUCCUCUCGUCUAAUUUUCUGUGAUUCAUUGUACACUUCUCUCAAGGACGCAGCCGUAUCCGGAUUCAUCUGCCUCAGAUGAUGCAAAAUUUCCUUCGGCUUCACAUGGCUCUUUUUCAGUAUCUUUGUCACUUCUCGUUGCUCUUCAGUCAGGCGACUUAGCGAACGUAGUCCUUGUGGAUAUUUAUGAGGAUUAUGAUUGUGCUUGCCAUUUUUGAUGGUAAGGCGCCAUAAUCCAUCACGACCCUCUUUACCCCAUAGCGCAAAAGGGCAUUUACACUUUAUUGAACCGGACUUCCGGCUUGUUUCGACCUCUGCAUUUUUUCCUCGACUCUUAUAGGCUCUUUUGCAAGUCAAAUAUUGUCGGCCCUCGUGGUAAGAAUGUCGCCUAAUCUCAUGUCCAUGACUGAUGGCCAUAUUCAUCGCCCACUCGACUAGUGCAUCUUUACUAUCAAAUGCAGUCGAAAUUGUGAAAAAUUCACUGAAAUCAUGUAGCUCGAAUGUUUCAAUAUCUUCAUCCACAUCUAUGUAUACUUCCUGUUUUUAUAUUAAUGUAAUUAGCAAAUUAUAAAACUAAAGAAUAAAACUAUUAAAAAAAAAAAAAAAAAAAAAAAAAAAAAAAAAAAAAAAUUUGUGGGGCUCGUGUGAUUUCACACAAACAGAGACGUUCUGCUCGUGUGAUUUCACACGAGCAAACCUCCUCUGCUCGUGUGAAAUCCCACGAGCUAAUUAAAAAAAAAAAAAAAAAAAUUGUUCUUGAGCUCGUGGGAAUUUNNNNNNNNNNNNNNNNNNNNNNNNNNNNNNNNNNNNNNNNNNNNNNNNNNNNNNNNNNNNNNNNNNNNNNNNNNNNNNNNNNNNNNNNNNNNNNNNNNNNGCAAGUGCUCGUGUCAAUUCACACGAGCUCAAGAAUAAAAAAUAAAAUUCAUCUACUCGUGUGAAUUUACACGAGCACUUGGCAAGUGCUCACGUAAAUUCGCACGAGUAGAUGAAUUUUCGGGAAAAAAACGAAAAACUUACAUUCGGGUCUAAGUUGUUUGGAUCCAUCGCAAAAAUUGUUGAAUAUCUGAAAUUUUUCACUUUGAAUGUUGAGUUUUAUAUUUUAUAGGAUUUGGUAGGAAUAGUACAAAAGGUAAAUAGUUAUGGUAAAAAGGUAAAAAACCAUGGUAAAAAGUGCCUGAAUGUUUAAUUUGGCCUGCAUAUAUCACCACCCUAAAAAAAAAAUGCCAAAAUCAUGUAUUAUAUUAAUGGGGUAAUGGCAAAUAGGCCCAUGACAAGGGCAAUUAAUUAAAAGAGGGACAUCCAAUUUUUUUGUCUUUCAAAUAAAUCCAACCCAUUCAAACUUAUUUGCAAAUAAGGAAAAUCCUUCAUAUAUACCAAAAUUACCCCCAAUUCAUUGAAACCCAAUUCAACUCCAAUUUCAUGAUUUACACCAUAAUUUAGCCCAAUUUCAUCAAUUAACCAAUUUUAACCAUAAUUUCAAUUUUGAUCCCAAUUUUAACCAUAAUUCUUAUCAAUUCCACCCAUUAUGCUCUAACUUCCUUAAUAUUACACAUUGACCCCGGAUUUAAACAAAUAUAUCACAUUAACCCCCAAAACUUUUUUUUUUGCAGAAAAUAAUUUUUUUUCUAAAAUAUUUUUUUUCCGGCCAGAUUCCGGCGUUGACUUUUUUUUUUUUUUUUUUUUUUUUAUAAUUUUGUUUUUUCUUAAAAAAAUUAUUUUAAUUAAUUUUAUUGUCUUGGCUGCUAAAUUACUGUCUCCGGUAGCUAUUUAACUGUCGGAGACAGUAAUUUAACUGUUAAUUGACUAUUUUUUUUUUCUUCAAAUUUUUUUAAUUAAUAUUUCUGUAUUCGUUGCUAAAUUACUGUCUCCAGCAGUUAUUUAACUGUCGGAGACAGCAAUUUAACUGUUAAUUGACUUUUUUAUUCUUAAAAAAAAUAUUUUUAAUUAAUAUUACUGUAUUCGUUGCUAAAUUACUGUCUCCGACAGUUAUUUAACUGUUGGAGACAGUGAUUUAACUGUUAAUUGAUUUUUUUAUUCUUAAAAAAAAUAUUUUUAAUUAAUAUUACUGUAUUCGUUUGCUAAAUUACUGUCUCCAGCAGUUAUUUAACUGUCGGAGACAGUAAUUUAACUGUUAAUUGGCUUUUUUUCAUUUUUUUUCUUAAAAAAAAAAUAUUUUAAUUAAUAGUACUGCCUUAGAUGUUAAAUUACUUUCUUCAACAGUAAUUUAACUGUCUUAGACAAUAAUAUUAAUAAUAUUAUUGUUCGGAAAAAUAAUAUUCAUAAUAUUACUGUUCGGAAAAAAUAAUAUUCAUAAUAUUACUGUACCAAACAGUAAUAUUACUGUCUGAGACAGUAAUUUAGUAGCUAAAACAGUAAUAUUAAUUAAAAUAUUUUUUUUCUAAGAAAAACAAUUCCAAAAAAAAAAAAUGUCAACGCCGGAGACCGCCGGUCAACGGUGGUUGACUGACCGGAAAAAAAAAAUUUCAAAAAAAAAAAAAAAAAGUCAACGCCGGAGACCGGCGGUCUCCGGCGGUCAACGCCGGAAUCUGGCCGGAAAAAAAAACAUUUCAGAAAAAAAAUUAUUUUCUGAAAAAAAAAAGUUUUGGGGGUUAAUGUGAUAUAUUUGUUUAAAUCCGGGGUCAAUGUGUAAUAUUAAGGAAGUAAGAGCAUAAUGGGUGGAAUUGAUAAGAAUUAUAUUAUUGAGGGUAUUUUAGACUAAAGACAUGGGGAUGGGUUUAAUUGAGAGACUGUUUUUUUUGUGGACUAAAAUGCAUUUAAGUCCUAUGUGAUGGGCCUUUUUGCCAUUUGCCUUAUAUUAAUAUAUUGCAUUACAAUAAAAAAAACAAAUCUCAAUCUCAAUCUCAAUCUCUAAUACUUAGAGUGCACAUAGGAUAUUUUGAGAUUUUUGUUCGAGAAUCAUCUCCAAUGCGAAUAUCAAAACAAAUCUCCAAAUGACGCGGCACUUGUGAUUUUAAAGAUUCUUAAGAUGACACUCUGAAAUUGAAGUUUCGUCUUGAGGAUCUCUAAAGUGUCAACUCAUCAGUUAUCACAUUUUUAUUUGAUUUUCUAAGAAAAAUAUUUUGAGUCUUGAGUGUUGUAUCGGAGAAAAUUUUGCAGCAGUCCGCAGAUAAUACAAAUCUUGCCAAAUAGGAUAGAGAAAAUUUUAUAAUUCAUAUUUGGUUGAAGAUGGACUAAUAUAAUUAAUAAUUAAGCAAAGUAGAAAAAUAUGAUUUGCUAAAAUUUCACUACCUAAAAGAAACAUAGUAAGUGUACUUUUUCCAUUUUUGAGGUCAAUAUCUCUAACAAAAAUACCAAUAUCUACAGAAUUACACACACACACACUGGAAAACAGAGAAGAGAAGCUUCAAAGAGAGAGAAACAAAUGGUGGAGGAAGCGAGCAACAAGCAGGUUAUACUAAAGGAUUACGUAAAGGGUUUCCCUAAAGAAUCGGAUUUGAUUUCCCAGACGAAUGCAACGACGCCGUUUUGGUGAAGAAUCUCUACUUGUCUUGCGACCCUUACAUGCGCGGCCGCAUGGGGAAAACGGAGGGCAGCUACAUUGACUCUUUUACGGCCCCUGGUUCGGUUAGUAUUUUCUGAUUGGCCUUUUCUUUUAUUGGUGUUUAAUUUGUACUCUGUGAUUCACCGGUUGUACCUUGGUAUGGGGAGAUUCAGAGAAGUAGUAUGUUUGGUCUAUAUAUGGGAAAUUUACAGUUUUCAUCCCUCAAGUUUGCAACAAUUUUACAUUUGGUCCUCCUUGUUCAUAAAAAAACACAUUUGGUCCCUUGUUUUUCAAUAAUUUGACACUUUUAGCCAUUUCCGUCAAUUCACUGUUAGUCCGUCGGUUACGGCAGUGAUAAGCAAACGUUUGAUUUUGUACGGAAAUUUGACGGAGAUGACUAAAAAGUUGAAUUUUUGAAACAUGAGGAACCAAAUGUGUUUUUUGUGAACAUGAUGGACCAAAUUGGAAAUCGGUGAAAACUUGAGGGAUGAAAAUUGAAUUUUUCCCUUUGUUCUAUUCUACACCCAUGACCCAUCAAUGAAUUAUACUGGAAAAAUUAAAGUUUUCACCCCUCAAGUUUUAGACUGAUUACAUAUUUGGUCCCCUAUAUUAAGAAAAAAUAUAUUUGGUCUUUCAUGUUUCAAAAAUUCAACACUUUUAGUCAUUUCCGUCAACUUACCGUUGGUCCGUCAGUUAAGGCAGUGAGGGUACACACUUGAUUAUGUUGUGAAAUUUCUGCAAACUUAAAGGGUGAAACUGUAUUUUUCUCGAAUUUAUUUCAUCGUAUAUAUCCUAGUAUGAAGUACUGUGAGGUAUAAAUAACUAUAAACACAAAUUUUAUUAAUACUUAGACGAUUACCGGAUAUGGAGUGGCGAAAAUCGUGGAUUCUUCUAAUCCCGAUUUCAAGAAAGGCGACUUGAUUUGGGGCUUAACAGGCUGGGAGGAGUACAGCCUUAUUAGAUCAACACAGGGUUUAUUCAAAAUUCAGAAUGCAGAUCUGCCUCUCUCCUACUACACCGGAAUUCUCGGUACGUAAAUUGACGUUUUCGCCCUUCUCUCGUUUUUUUUUUUUUUUUUUUUUUGCAAGCAUGCAUGUAUGUAUGUGAUGGACUUUAUAAUAUGAUAUAUAGGUAUGCCUGGUCAUACUGCUUAUAUUGGUUUUUAUGAGAUUUGUUCUCCGAAAAAGGGAGAAUAUGUGUUCGUUUCUGCUGCAUCGGGAGCCGUUGGCCAACUCGUUGGCCAAUUCGUCAAGUUGUUCGGGUGUUAUGUUGUCGGCAGUGCUGGAAGCAAAGACAAGGUCUUUACAAAUAUAUAAAUUAAAGAUCACAAAAUUCAAUUUUUUUCCCAUUAUAUAUAUAUAUAUAUAAUUUUUUUUUUAAUCAAUUUUGUGUGAAGGUGGAUCUUUUGAAGAAUAAAUUUGGUUUUGAUGAUGCAUUCAACUACAAAGAAAAACCUAAUUUAGAUGCGGCUUUAAAGAGGUUAGUUUAUUAUUUCGUACACGAAAUCUGCAAGUUAGCAAAAUAAAUAUAUUUUUUUAAUAAAACGAAUGAACUAGCAACGGAACAUAUAUACGGGUGCACUGAGUAAAAUUACACGUAAAACACAAUGUGGCAAAAACCUCAACAACAACAACGUCUUCUUGGGUAAAGAAAAUAGUUUACCGCAAAAUCAAUUUCAUCACAAUUUACCUAGCUAAUAGGAACCAAAAAAACUAUGUUCAGAGUUUAUGUUCUAAUUUGCUUUUGCAUUUUGAUUUUUCUCAUUUCAAAAAUUAUGAAAAUGUUAGUUAUUUCCCGAACGGCAUCGACAUUUACUUUGAGAACGUGGGAGGAAAGAUGCUCGACGCAGUGCUCCUCAACAUGAGAGUCAACGGCCGCAUUGCCGUUUGUGGGAUGAUAUCGCAGUACAACCUUGAAAAUCCAGACGAAGGUACUCGAAACUUGUUGUGCCUUGUAACAAAGCGAAUACGCAUGGAGGGAUUCUUGGUUUUCGAUUACUACAACCUCUAUCCAAAAUUCUUGGAGAUGGUGGUCCCGCUCGUUAAACAAGGGAAAAUAACGUACGUUGAGGAUGUAGCCCAAGGCCUUGAGAAUGCACCAAACGCUUUCGUUGGGCUCUUCUCCGGCCGCAACGUAGGGAAGCAAGUUGUGGUUGUGGCUAGUGAGUAGCUUGUUUUGUUAUGAAAUUGUCAUCAAGGGCUUCCUUAAUUUGGUUUUUAAUUUUGUUUGUGUUGCUAAAUGACACUGUCAUCUUUGUUUUUCAUUUCAUCUUGUAUUAUUUUUUUUUUUUUUUACUAUUGGAGAUAUGAAUAUUAAAUAAUACAUUUCACACCUACAAUGAUAUUCGUCCUCAAACAUUGCCGCCACAAUUAGAUCCUCAAAAGGGUAAAUAGCACUUAACACUCCUGUGGUUACAAGCUUUUGCCAAUGACCCCUCUGUGCUCGUCAAAUUAGCACAUAACCACCUUGUGGUUGAUAGGGGUAGCUUUCGUUAAUUUUUCGCUCAAACUUAACCGCGUGUGUCAAACUUCGAGGGGUCAUCUGCAAAAUUGAAAGUACAAGAGGGUCAUCUGCAAAAAAUACUUUGACGUUUGAAACUGGCGGUUAAGUUUCACGGAAAAACUAACGAAGCUAUCCUCACUUAUCACCACGAGGAGGUUAUGUGUUCAUAUAAAAAGCAUUAGGGGUCAUCUGCCAAAGUUUGUAACCAGGGGUUCAGUCUUAUUUACUCCCUCAAAAUUACAACUUUUUGAUAAUUUUGGUCCGACAGUCAUAUUUUGGUGUAUACUCGAAUGAAAUCAUCAUGUGCGGGGCGGAUUUAAGGGGUGGCCAUGUAUGCCAUGGACCACACCAAAUAAUAAACAAAUGUUUGCCUAAUUAGGGGUGGUUUCGGUACGGUUACCGAACAUUUUGUUCAAUACCGUGUACCUACCGUAUCUUUCGGUAUUGAAAAAUUCUAUACCGUUACCGUACCAACAAUUGCGGUAUACCGUUAUUCGGUAUACCGUUAGUUUCGGUACGGUAUGAUCGGUACGUGGUAAUCUACCGUACAUCAUUUUUUUGAUGAACUCGGAUGAUACCAUAAUUAAGAUGAAUACUAAAUAAAUGCAUAAAUACAACAAAUUAAGCAAAUGAAUGUGGUACUCAAGCAAUCUACAUGAAUAUACAUUAUACGACCGUAGUAGCAUAUGUUGCUUUAAUUAACUAAUGCUUACUUCAAUUGCGCAUCCAUCCAUGAGCUCUAUCACUUCAAUUGCAACCAAGGCAUGGAUAGCAUUGCAAUAUAUCAGGGUCCACCUUAGCUUGUAGUCUUUCUUGGUUGUAAUCAAUCGGUACGAAGCUAAGAUGGGAUCUUCAUCACCCGUUCCCUCAAAUCGGUACACAAAAACCUCACAUCCGCGUAUAACCUCCACUUCAAACACAUUCGUCUUCUCAUCAACCUCUAUUGAUGCCUUCAAAUCUACAUUUAGAUCAACGACAUGGUCCACAACUAGAACAUCUUCAAUCAUUCCAUCCAUCUCCUUCUUCUCUUGUUCUGAGGCAUCUUCGUGGUUUAGCUCGAUUGCCUUCUCAGAUUCAUCAUGCUCAAGUGUCUUCGUAAUUUCUAUUUCUCUCAUAUAGACACUAUUUUCUGGACAUAGAAGAUUUUUCUCACCGCAGGCUUCACCCGAAUUUUCUUUGAUAUAACCAUUGCCGAUUUCGUCUGGAAUAUUUUCAAGAGAUUCAGAUUUUAAUUUGAGAGUCAUCUCUUCCAGUUGUAUCUCCAUGUUUUGAAAUGAUGCUUGAGUGGACUUCAUGAAUUCAGCAAUAAGGGAUACCAAAUCAAGUUGUUCAUCAGUGGUCUGCUGCUGCAUUGGAUAAUAAUUUUGAAAAUCAUCAAUUUGUGGCUCUCUAUGUUGAAACUCAUUCAAAUCUUGGUCUUGAAAGCUUUGCUCGUAUGUGUUGUUGUAAGUGUUCCAAUAACCUCCGUUGGUAAUUUCGACGAAAUUUGUCGCCUUUGGUGAUCCCCAACAUUGAUCGGAAUAAUGAUUUCCACCACAUGCGGAACAAAACGGAGGCAUAUCAUAGGUGUUUUGGAGGUAUUCGUCAGUUGGAAGCCAUUCAUAUCCCGUUUGAGGUGCCCCAACAUUGUAACCAGACAUGUAACAAAAAAAAAAAAAUCAAAAUUAAAAAUAAAAAUUAAAAUUAAAAUUAAAUGGCUGAAGUAAGAAAAAUUGCUCAAAUUUGAUAUUAGAAUAAAUAAAUAAUUUAGCCGUAUUCCCCGGCAACGGCGCCAAAAACUUGUUGGGUGCUAAAUACCAACACGCAAGUGUACGUAUCGCAAACAAGUAGUAAAGUAGACUCGUGAGAGUCGGAUGUCGAUCCCACAGGGAAUACGCAAAUUAUUUAAUCCUAAGUACCAAAUCCUAACAAUUAUGAUUUUUAUUCAGCCUACGCAGGGUUGUCAAAUUAAUUAACUAAAUAAAUUAAACUAAUUAAGAAAUCAAUUAAACACGAGAAAAUAUCAAUAUAAAACGGAUCUAGGAUUUUAUCUUCCCCCUAUGCAAUAAUUCUUCACCCAAUUAAUCUCCUAUCAUGCAAGUUACGAUUCCCGAUUAUUAACCCAAGACACGAAAUUAUUCAUAACCAGCUGUCGCUGCGUUAUAAACCUAUUAUUCAUAAAAGAUUCACUAUAUGUCUAUGCAAACCUAGUAUAAAUAAAGCAUUAAAUAACAAGUCUCGCAAACGGCUACCUAAGGUAUUAUCUGUAUGUCUACGAUAAUACAUGCAAUCAACACACACAUUCGGUGAAAAACUACUCGAAAGUUCUUCUAUCCCUGUUCUAAUUAUUAAAACGAUCUGUCAAUCAAUUCUAACAAUAACAAAUAGCAACAUAAAUUAGCUACGUUCAUGCGCUAAAUAAGAUCAAGAUAGAAGAAAUAAUCGAAGAAUUAAACUUGCAUAAAAGUAGAAAAAUAGGUUCGAAUUACCACAUAGGGUUCCAAUAAAAUCCUAGAAUAAAAACUUAGUUACUCAUGUUCGCUACGGAAAACAUAAUAAAAAUACGAAAGUUCAUGAAAAUCGAAAAAUAAAAGGAGAACUAUGAAGAAGAUUCGUUAAGUCUUCGUCUUCGUUGCUCCGUUCCUAAAUUGCGUGUAGAAAGAUGAGAGAUAAAAACUAAAGAUAAAAGGUAAAAGGUGAAUCCUUUAAUUGUGUGCUUUUGGCCUUUAAAUAGGGUGCAAAAAUAUAAUAGGGCGGGUUUCCUUGUGUAAUUAAGAUUCCUUCUCUGCGCCAACUCGACCAUCCGGACGGCCGUGCGAGAAUAGGCUUUAAAAUCCGGACGGCCGUCCGGUCUUCAAUUCUUCAGAAUUCUGGUUUUUUCACUUUUGGCCCACUUUUUCUCCGAAUUUGCAGUUUUCACCCCAAAAGUUGCCAAUUCUUCAAUUUGCACCUGAAAUACAAAUAAUAACCAUUUUAAGCACCAAUUAUCGUUAAAACACACCAAAAGCUCCAAUUAAAAGGUACAAUUAAGUGUAUAAAUAUACACUUAACAGUAGGUAUACCAUGGUAAUCGGUAUUUGGUAAUUUUUGCCCAGCACACUCCUGUGGUUACAAGCUUUUGCCAAUGACCCAUCUGUGCUCGUAAAAUUAGCACACAACCACCUUGUGGUUGAUAGGGGUAGCUUUCGUUAAUUUUUCGCUCAAACUUAACCGCGUGUGUCAAACUUCGAGGGGUCAUCUGCAAAAUUGAAAGUACAUCAUCUGCAAAAAAUACUUUGACGUUUGAAACGGGCGGUUAAGUUUCACGGAAAAACUAACGAAGCUAUCCUCACUUAUCACCACGAGGAGGUUACCUGUUCAUAUAAAAAACAUUAUGGGUCAUCUGCCAAAGUUUGUAACCAGAGAGGGGUUCAGUCUUAUUUACUCCCUCAAAAUUACAACUUUUUGAUAAUUUUGGUCCGACAGUCAUAUUUUGGUGUAUACUCGAAUGAAAUCAUCAUGUGCGGGGCGGAUUUAAGGGGUGGCCAUGUAUGCCAUGGACCACACCAAAUAAUAAACAAAUAUUUGCCUUAGUUGUGAAGAUGUCCAACUAGUUGGAGUGAGGUCACGACUUCGACCUUCCUAUUGUGCAAAAAGUUUUUUUUUUUUUUUUUAGCCCCUCUCCCAUAAACACAUUAUAUUAUAUUUAUAUUACUAUUUAGUCCACCUAAAAUUCGAAAUAUACAAAAAAAUCCUUAUUUUUUUCUUUUUUUUUUGCCCCUCUCCCCAAAAACACAUUAUAUUAUAUCUAUAUUAUUAUUAUUUAGUCCACUCAAAAUUCAAAAUAUACAAAAAAAGUCCUAAAUUUUUUCUUCUCCUAAUUUAUCCAACAAAAAAAGGUUCAUUUUUUUUUCCCAAGGGCGCUGCACCUGGACCCCCGAAAAUUUAAGCCCACUAGUAAAUUCCUGGACUGACCACAGCCGGCAUACCCUGAAUUUUCAUCUUGGAUCCGCCACUGGCGGCUUCACGUGAUGUUCACUUGGCAAUUAAAAAGGAAAAAAAAGAGAGAAAAUCGUUGGGAUAUAUGUACACGUAAUUUAAAUUCCAAUGAUUUUUUUUUAUAAACUAAUUGCAAAUCGGUCGAAAUUAUUGUGCGUGCUUCUUCCCUAGUUACUUAUACCAAAAGCGGACAAACAUCUCGCACUAUAAUCUAUUUGGUCAUGGAUUCGAAUCAUCCAAAUCCAUAAAGGGCAAUUGAGAACCAAUAAUUAUUCUUUUUUUUAAAGAGAGAGAAAAAAAAAGAAACUAAAACCACUCAUCUUAAAGCUAGAAAAAGUUAUAGUGAUGUUAGUGCGAUUAUUAAAAAAAAAAAAGUUAUCGAUGAACUGAUGUCGAUCGAUUAGCGACUCCGUGUAACGGGUGGGAAUUCUUACUAGAAAAUCGUUGGGAUAUAUUACAAGGUAAAGUUCAUUCACAUAUGACGAACCUUUUCAACACGGAAAACGUGAACUUAAUAAUUUUCACUUAUUCCACUUUUUCCCUAUCUAAAAUCUUGAAAGAUACUUUAGUUUUUCUUUUAUGAGCAAAUUGCACAUCACCCCCUAAGAAUUUCUAAUUUUCGCACUUUACCCCCUCAAAAUUUUAAAAAGUGAAUGCCACCCUUCGAAAUGUUAUUUUUGUUGCACAUUUCCUCGAUAGCAAAAUUUCAAUGGAUUAUUCAUCGGCAUUUGAGUAUUUUUGUUGCACAUUGCCCCUUUAUAUGUUACUUUUGUUACACGUUACCCUUAAAAAAACUAUCUUUUUGCACAUUGCCCCUUUAAAAUGUUAUUUUCGUUGCAGAAUAUACUGCCCACCAAAAUUGGUUUCUGGGGCAAAACGCAACCAAAAUAAUUUUUUUUUUAAGGGGGACUAUCCAGUUUUUAAAUUCUUAGGGGAGAAAGUGCGAAAAUGAGAAAUUUGUAGGGAUUGAAGUGCAUUUUGUCCUUCUUUUAAUAAGAAUUAAAAUACACAUGCCAACCUUAAAGUAAGUAUAUAUAUAUAUAUAUAUAUAUAUAUAUAAAUAUAAGAGUGUAUGUUUACUAGUGCACCUAUAUAGUUGACUGUAGGUUCCUUAGUUAAAAAAAACAAAAAAAAAAAAAAAUCCACUUCAACAAGAAAGUGACCCUAAAAAAAUGUAGGCUCUAAAACUUAUUGUUUCCACUUUAAAAAAGAAAACGACUCAUUGAAAUUAUUGUCUUAAAACAAGCACGUGUUUUACAUUAAUAUUAAUGAAGUGAAUUAUUGUACAUCACUACAAAAAAACAUGCAUGUGUUUUACAUGAAUAUUAAUGAAGUGAAUUAUUGUACAUCACUACAAGAAACAAAUAAAGUGGCACUGUCUCAAUACACUUUAAAUUCAGUCCCUUCAUAUACUUUUAUCUAAUAUUCUACUUCUUGUAGGGAUAAUUACAUUUUAGUCCCUCAUACUGACAUUAUUUUCACUUUCAGUCCUCAAUUUAUCACAUUGUUAACAAAUACCAUUCUAAUAUUAAAAACUUGUAACGCGUUUGGUCCCUCCGGCUGUUUGACCGUAAGUAACUGUUGGGUUAUUUUAAUAAAAACAAUAUAUUUUAUUAUAAAUUAUAAUAAUGACUUUGACCACUUUUAUGAUGGUCAUUAGACCACUAUUUUGAAACCUUCAAAGUCAUUAUUUUCCUACAUAAAAUACCAUAAUUUCUAUAUUAAAUUGAGGUUUUAUGGGGGUUAUAUUAUAUAUUAUAUAAAGGGGAUAUUGUGGCUUUACAUGGAGAAGAAGAAGGAAGAGAAAAACAAACACUUUUCAUCUAUACUAUACUUUGAGCUUUUGUUGUGUGUCGGGUGUAAGCUUCUACUUCACUCGAACGUGCAAUUUCGGUGAAGUUACAGCGGAGAGAUAGGCUGGGCUGUUGUAUCCCAUAGGCGACACGAUCGGAACCUUUUUGCACCUCAUUAGAGAAGGGGUCGUGAAAUUCGUCUUAAGAGAGCGACCUAGUCCGCGCCUCACCUUGCCUAUCUCCAUAUUAUUGUGUAUAUUAUUGCAGUUAAUUAUCAACUAAGAAAAAGAGAGACCAAAUAGAGUACAAGCCUCAAUCCACAAGUUUCGUGAUCAAUCGUCAAAUUACAGCCGUGGUUCCAACAAUUUAAGACGAAGCUUUGAUCCCAUGAAGAUGAGCUUUGAUGAUGAUCCAAAAUAGGCUCUUGAUGAUAACAAGGGAGAUGAUAAAUUAUAUUUUAUUGUUAUUUUGAUUUGAUGAAAAAUUAACGAUCUUAUUUUUGUGUAGGUGAAUUUUUCGUACAAUUCACGAGUUUAUACUUUGAGACCAGUUUCAGACCUGAUAAUGUACGAAUUUGAGAAUGUGUAAAACAUAAAAGUUUUAGGCAUUUCUGCUGGCUGUCCGAAACAUUUUGAAACACUGAAAUCGGACAUCGAACGAGAGAGAUAUGCUUCAAAUACUGAGCACUGCUGGAGCUGCCAAAUUGUGCGCGGUUUGGAGAUAUCGAAAAAAAAAUGAUAGUUGAGAAUUAUCAAACCUGGUACGUUCUUCGUUUAUUCAUGCUAAUUAUGAUAAUUUUGCAUAAUAUUUGUGUUGAUGAUUGAAACUGGGAUUAUCUGUUCUGUACGUAUGUGAGUUAUAUGCAUAAGAAAUUUUCGUUCAGAGUUUGAGCACAAAGAACUACAUGAAACUAUUAUGAUUAAUGAAAAAAGAAAAAAAAAUAUCUACUGGUAUUCAAUGCAUUAAUUUCACGUGUUUGACUGCGUCUCAUAUAUUUGAAAUAUGCAUUGCUGUCAUUUUUAUAGUGGACUUAAAGAAAUUAUCUGUUACAACAUUAUGAGCACUUAUCAUGGUUUUAUGUGCUAUUUAUAUUGAAAGUAAUGGCAUGAGAAUUUGCCAUUGAAAAUUGAUCAGAUAGAGGGUGAAAUGUUUCCGAAGAAACGGUGUUAUUUGACAUUUAUGAUGAUAUAUAUAUUUGAAUUUUGACAAUUGAUCAAAAUUGAUCAAAUUGCAAUUGAAAUGUUAUGCAUGUUUUAACCGUUAUGUGUUAAACCAUUUAUAUACUAUUAAUACAUUUUAGUUUACAAUACGCCUUAUUAUUAGUCAACACUUAUCACGUGAAUUUUUAUUCAUGCAUUAUUGCUAUUAAAUUAUGUGAUUCUGAUCUUACAUUAAACGCAUUUUCCUAAGAAUAUGAAGCAUAACUUGGCCGUUGCUAAAGUCGAUUUUUUUAUAUUUUGAUGAAAUGGUUUGUGCGUUUUUUAUUAAAAAAAAAAAAAAAAAUGUGAUUGUGUAAUUGCUAUGGAGUAUUUUGUUCCUGAAAUCAUUAUGGAAGGAAUUAGAACACUAAAAUGUGUUUUUCGGAAUAUACUAUUGUUGAAUUACUACAAAUUGAUUUCCAUGAAGAUAAAAUAUUUUAUAAUCAGAGAACAACUCUGAUAAAUUAUUAAAUAAAUAAUUUAUUUAGAUUGAGAAAUAGUGGGGGUAUUAUAGUUUUCUCUAACUGUGAAAAUGAGCAUGAUAUAUUAUAUUUUGAAUUUAAUUCAUGAUGCAUGUGUUUGAAUAUUUGAUGUAGUGGGAGUCUUAGAGAACAUGAUUAUAUGAUUAAACAUUUUAUGUAUUGUUUAAAUAUUGAGAAAUAGUGGGGGUCUUAGUGUCUACCUAUAUGAGUAUGUUAUAAUUGGUUUUGACGUGGACUUUGUUUAUAUUGCUCAUUUUAUGAUUGCAUAUUGUUCAUAGUGAUAGUGUGAUAAAUUAUGCUUUAUUUGCAAUCUUGAAUAUGCAAGUAGUUAUUAAAGGCCUAAUUUUACAUAUACGUGACAUUGGUAUAAUAUAGAAAGGCCUAAGAGUAGAUAUUAAUUUGCGAAAAUAAAUUUAUGAGUUGUGAAGUGAAACGUUUUUUUGAAAGUUUCAAUAUUGUUGAUUAUUGAAAAUCUAAAUAAGAGGAAUUAUAUUCCUAUUUGAUUAGAUUUAUCACAUUGUGCGAAUGACUAUUUGUUUAUAAUUUAAAAGUCAAAACUCAUAUCAAUUUUGAUUGAUUAUUUUGACAUUAGCCUGUGAGGAGGCCGGUUGAUACCGAAUGUGGUAUAUAAAAUCCUAAUGUGGGAUAGAUCAAUGCUUUGUGCUUAGAUAAAUAUGAUUGAGAAUAAAUCAAAUGCUUUGUGCUUUGAUAAAUAUGAUUGAGAAUAAAUCAAAUGCUUUGUGCUUUGAUAAAUGAGAUUGAAAAACUGCAGUUGGCAUAUUGCGAGAAUCUUUUAAUGGAAUCCGGAACCAUUAAAAGAAAAUACAGUACUGUGAAUCUAUGUGAAAAAUCACGUGAAAAUUUAAGUGAAAUUAUAUGAGAAAUGGUUAAUAAACCAUAAAGUCUGAGACUAAAUUGGUGAAAUUAUAUUUCACAUUAUUUCAGAAAUUAUCUGAAAUGCAUCGAGGGGGACUGGAUUAAAGCCUAAUAUAUUUUGUAAAGUUGUUGAUGAGGAUACUACCGCCUAGGGGCUAGAGAUCCUACGAACUAGGCGAAGAAAAACGAAUCUGAAAGCAACUUGAUAGUGAUAAGAGUGCAUACUUUUAUUAUCCAUCCCUAUGGUGUGUGUGCACUAAUAAAGCUCGUAACGAAUUGUGAGGUUGAGACUUUGAUCUCUUAAUGAGUUCUAUAGCCCGGACGGGUGGGGUGUUGGAGUUACGUAAACAUCAUUGAUAGAAUUCACCUUGUGAGUGUGGAAGUGGGGCCGCUUCCUAUGAGAAUUAAGGCUGUUCUCUAGAGCUCUCACGAGAAAUGGGGUAAAGCACAUGGCCGUUAACGUGCUGGCUUUAGAAGCUUCGAUCGGGACACUUUGUGUAUUAUGUGUGCAAUAUGAUUCUACGUGCCCCAAGGGUCACUGUUUGAAGGCUAAGUCCACUUUGAUUCUAGUACGGGAAACAUAUUGUACUAAGUGAAGGUUUGAAGGCAUUGUCCACUUUCAUUAUGCAUAAUAUUCCGCAAGAGCUCAAGUAUAUUUAUAUUCUUAUUUUUAUUGAAAUAAGUGGGGGGUUGUUGGGUUAUUUUAAUAAAAACAAUAUAUUUUAUUAUAAAUUAUAAUAAUGACUUUGACCACUUUUAUGAUGGUCAUUAGACCACUAUUUUGAAACCUUCAAAGUCAUUAUUUUCCUACAUAAAAUACCAUAAUUUCUAUAUUAAAUUGAGGUUUUAUGGGGGUUAUAUUAUAUAUUAUAUAAAGGGGAUAUUGUGGCUUUACAUGGAGAAGAAGAAGGAAGAGAAAAACAAACACUUUUCAUCUAUACUAUACUUUGAGCUUUUGUUGUGUGUCGGGUGUAAGCUUCUACUUCACUCGAACGUGCAAUUUCGGUGAAGUUACAACGGAGAGAUAGGCUGGGCUGUUGUAUCCCAUAGGCGACACGAUCGGAACCUUUUUGCACCUCAUUAGAGCAGGGGUCGUGAAAUUCGUCUUAAGAGAGCGACCUAGUCCGCGCCUCACCUUGCCUAUCUCCAUAUUAUUGUGUAUAUUAUUGCAGUUAAUUAUCAACUAAGAAAAAGAGAGACCAAAUAGAGUACAAGCCUCAAUCCACAAGUUUCAUGAUCAAUCGUCAAAUUACAGCCGUGGUUCCAACAGUAACUAACUUUAAGUACCCCUAUAUUAUUAUUUUAAACUGUUGUGUUAUAAACAUUACCCAAUUAAAUACUUCAUACUGCAUAGACCAUAGUAUUGGACUAAUUAUGCAAUAUCAUUUUACCAAUAUCUAUAUUAGUCUAACUAAAUUAAAAUUAUUAGGGUAAAUAGUACUUAAUCUUCUUGUGGUUACAGGCUUUUGCAUAUGACGCCUUUGUCCUUGUAACAUCUAGCACAUAAACCCCCUUGCGGUUGAUGGGUAGCUUCCGUCAGUUUUUUCGUGAAACUUAAUCGCUUGUGUCAAACGUCAAAGUAUUUUUUUUUCCAGAUGAACCCUUGUGUUUUCAUUUUCCCUUUCAUAUUUUCAGAUGACCCCUUGAAGUUUGACACACGCGAUUAAGUUAGACGGAAAAACUAGCAUAAGCUACCCGAUAAACUACAAGGGGGUUAUAUGCUGAUAUUACGAGCACAAGGGAGUCAUCUGCAAGAGCUUGUAACCAAAGGGGUUAUGUGCUAUUUACCCUAAUUAUUAAAAUCAAACCCAAUUUCUGAUUUAUUUAUGAUAUAUCUAAAAUCGAUUUUUAUUUCAGCUACAAUAUAAAAAAAAACAGUAAUCCCAAAAGUUUGCAAAUUGGACCCAACAAGCAAAAUUCAUUAGAAAAGGGGGCAACUUAGAAAGAAAA
Molecule: long non-coding RNA, 39159 nt
Filed under: Erythranthe guttata (spotted monkey flower)
Lineage: Eukaryota; Viridiplantae; Streptophyta; Magnoliopsida; Lamiales; Phrymaceae
Description: long non-coding RNA (EGUT_LNC001494)
Source: RNAcentral